This 77-nucleotide transfer RNA is filed under the name Parapedobacter luteus. RNAcentral describes it as "tRNA_Arg_TCT". It matches the Rfam family "tRNA". Rfam says of the family: Transfer RNA (tRNA) molecules are approximately 80 nucleotides in length. Their secondary structure includes four short double-helical elements and three loops (D, anti-codon, and T loops). Lineage: Bacteria; Pseudomonadati; Bacteroidota; Sphingobacteriia; Sphingobacteriales; Sphingobacteriaceae. The record is from RNAcentral. RNAcentral also lists the same sequence under 1 other name.
GCGCCCAUAGCUCAGUUGGAUAGAGCAACGGUUUUCUAAACCGUCGGUCUUAGGUUCGAAUCCUAAUGGGCGUACCA